GAUGAACGCUGGCGGCGUGCCUAACACAUGCAAGUCGAACGGAGAUUACGGACGGAAGUUUUCGGAUGGAAGACUGUAAUUCUUAGUGGCGGACGGGUGAGUAACGCGUGGGCAACCUGCCCUAUACAGGGGGAUAGCAGCUGGAAACGGCUGGUAAGACCGCAUAAGUCGGCGAGACCGCAUGGUUUUGCCGGGAAAUGAGCAAUCAGGUAUAGGAUGGGCCCGCGUCCGAUUAGCCAGUUGGCAGGGUAAAAGCCUACCAAAGCAACGAUCGGUAGCCGGACUGAGAGGUCGGACGGCCACAUUGGGACCGAGACACGGCCCAAACUCCUACGGGAGGCAGCAGUGGGGGAUAUUGCACAAUGGAGGAAACUCUGAUGCAGCGACGCCGCGUGAGUGAAGAAGUAUUUCGGUAUGUAAAGCUCUAUCAGCAGGGAAGAUGAUGACGGUACCUGACUAAGAAGCCCCGGCUAACUACGUG
Molecule: ribosomal RNA, 481 nt
Filed under: uncultured bacterium
Lineage: Bacteria
Description: partial 16S ribosomal RNA
Rfam family: Bacterial small subunit ribosomal RNA
Source: RNAcentral